Molecule: unclassified non-coding RNA, 301 nt
Filed under: Hevea brasiliensis (rubber tree)
Lineage: Eukaryota; Viridiplantae; Streptophyta; Magnoliopsida; Malpighiales; Euphorbiaceae
Source: RNAcentral
AAGUUGAGAAGUAAAUGCAAAAACGCCAAAGGGUUAAGAUUAGUGCUAGAUGAAUCGAGAAAAGUAUGGUGGAGACAUGGACAUCUCAAGCUCCUCUAGCCCCGAUGGACGAUGGCCCAACAAGCCAACAAGCACCGCCGAAUCGCCAAACUGACAAAAGCUCGAUAGUGUCGUAAAACAAAACCAUCACUUGUCGAUUUGCAUAGAAACUCUUAUAUUGAAGCACAACGCUAACAGAUCGACAAAAAGCAAAACUAAACAACGUUAUACAUGAAUCAAUUGAAAAAGAAAGGGAGAUCCA